AAGCUCGUAGUUGAAUUUCGGGGUUAGUAGGUUGGUCAUGCCUCUGGUAUGUACUGGUCUCACUGAUUCCUCCUUCCUUAUGAACCGUAAUGCCAUUAAUUUGGUGUUGCGGGGAAUUUGGACGGUUACUUUGAAAAAAUUAGAGUGUUUAAAGCAAGCUAACGCUUGAAUACAUUAGCAUGGAAUAAUGAAAUAGGACGUUCGAUCUUAUUUUGUUGGUUUCUUAGGAUUGACGUAAUGAUUAAUAGGGAUAGUUGGG
Molecule: ribosomal RNA, 259 nt
Filed under: uncultured Glomus
Lineage: Eukaryota; Fungi; Glomeromycota; Glomeromycetes; Glomerales; Glomeraceae
Description: partial 18S ribosomal RNA
Rfam family: Eukaryotic small subunit ribosomal RNA
Source: RNAcentral